GUAAACAUUAAUGUUAAUUUUAUUGAUAUUACUGUUUUUCAAACAGAGAUUGAUGGAGAAAAAAAAAGUAUUAUAUUUUUAUGACAUUCCUGAAUUCUGACUAAUCUAAUGAGUCUAAUAAUCUAUUUCUGAUGUAUGGGGGUACUUGGGUCUUGAUGUAAACAAACAAGUCCAUCAAAUAUGUCAGAAUACCAGAUGUGUUCAUAAGGCCUUGCAGUGUAAAUGCAGCCUAAAUAAAGAGGUACUUUUAAUUUGACAUGUCUUGACAGGAACAGAUGUCAUCAUUAAAGACUUCUGGUCAUUUUUUCCCUGGAACACAAACUGAGAGGGCUGGGAAAAUGAUGAGCGACAGCUGUGAAUGGAGGUAGAGUCUGUUGCUCCUCGUGCAGAUUUGGCACUGGCUUUCCAAACACAUUUCUUCAGGUGUCUUCAAGCUGGUUUAAAUGAACGGUGAAGAGUUUUGAUAUUUAUUUUCACAUUCUGGUUUAGUUCACAAUGAAGUGCCAAAUAGACACUUGGAAUUUGGAGUUUAUAACUCUUUGGGAAAAAUAACUAUACCUUUUUCUUCCCUUAAGAGCGGGCGCAGCCAUUUGUACAUUUUGUGGGUCUGGCUUCCAGUCUCAUCCACUUCCUGCUACUUUUAACUGUAUAAAACAGCUUGUUUUGCUGCUUGGUAUUGAAAACUGAGGCUAAUAAAGCGGAAGUCUUGCCCAUAUGCUCACUUCCACAUUGAAGAAUAAGGGCCUCCUGCUGACAGACAGAUUCUUGAAUGGGUGAUGGUCAGAAUGAAGAGACACAGAUGUGGACAAUUAUCUUUGCACGCUGCACACAUCCCUCACCGAGAGUCUGAGGACAGGGGCUGAUGAUGAAGCCGUGGGAUUGCCCCCUGGAAAUGAUCACACCUGCGUGGAGGUAAUAAGAUGGUGGUUUGCUGAGAGCCGGUUUGAUUACCGAGCUCGGAGACGUGGAGUGUGAUUGGCAGUGGAAUGUAGACAGUGUGAUUAGGGGGGACGGAUCUUGGCUGUUACUUCUCAUGGAGCAAAGGUGUCGAGCGUGAAGAUGUUGGAAAUAUGUCGAAGCGUCAGUU
Cyprinus carpio carpio is the source of this 1087-nucleotide long non-coding RNA. Lineage: Eukaryota; Metazoa; Chordata; Actinopteri; Cypriniformes; Cyprinidae. The record is from Ensembl.